This 109-nucleotide ribosomal RNA is filed under the name Carlito syrichta (Philippine tarsier). The record is from RNAcentral. Lineage: Eukaryota; Metazoa; Chordata; Mammalia; Primates; Tarsiidae.
GUAUAUGGCCAUACCACCAUAAACAUGCCCCAUCUCCUCUGAUCUGGAAAGCUAAGCAGAUCAGAUCUAGCUAGUAGUUGGACUGGGAAGAGAGACAGACAGGCAGACC